UAUUGAGUUUUAAUAGCAUUAAAAGAUAACGAUUUAUGUAUUUAUGCUAUAGUUGAUUUACCCUUAACUCUUUUGUAGCGUUUCUAAAUUGAUACACGCUAUAAUAUGUUAUGCAGAUAAAAAGUUAUGCGCUGGCUCAAUUUUUUCGCUCAAUUUUUUUUUAACAUGGUAUAUGAUAGCAUAUAUACACAACUAAAACGUUAUGGAAAAAUUAGCGGGAGAAAAGAAGUCAGUGACCGCCUAAACUAAAAUUGGGCUCUAGAAACUCUUAUCCACAAACCCUUAAUUUUUUAUUUUUCUUUCACUUUAUUCAUCAGGCUAAUGAAACCGUCUAUCUUCUUUGACUUCUCUUCAUCUCCGUUACUCUAUUCUCGCUCAAUCCACUUCUCCUCUUUGCUUCUUAGUCUCUUCGUUUCUUCAUCUUCUUCACCUCUUCCUCUUCUCCCUCUUUUCUCGUCUUCUCCAGCAAACUCAUUUUUCCAGAUCUAAUUUUUUUUUUUUUUUUUCAGAUCUCGUCGCCGCUUAUGAUGUACCGCCAAAGUAAUCGAAGAAGACGUAACGAGAGAUGUUAUGCUAGUUUUCCGAUAGUUACAAGGGAUCUCCGCCUUCCACCCUAGCUCCAUCAUUGCCUCUUAGAUCUGUCGCCGUUUCCACAUCUUAGCCGCCAGUGAGUCUCUUCCGAAUUCUUCUUAAUGUUUGAGAUAUUAAUUUAGGGUUCUCCAAUUUGUGCUUUUCAUCCAUAACUCUUACGAUUUUUUAACUCUUUGUGUUGGUUUUUUUUCUUCUAAUUUGAUUUAAUUGAGCCACGAGGAUGGAUGUAUUUGGUUCGAUUUUUGAAGGAAUUGAUGUUCUCAGAGAUGAAAGUGAGGGAUAAUUAGGAAGAAAUACGAUCCUUUUCGUCGGAGCAUUGGAUCUGUGUGGCCUCUCGAUGGUAGAAGGGAGGAGUCCUAACAGCGAUUGAUGAAGAGAUGAGCGAUAUUGUGAGGAUUAAGACAACAGAUCGUGAAGAUAGGUGAUGAAUCAAGUUGAGGUGAAAUCAGAUUCGAGGCAUUGAGAUUCUUAAGUACGUUGACACUGUUACUCCGAAAUACAAGCCAAAGUUUGAUGCUUUGGUCAAAGGGAGGCGUCGUGGAAUCUGUUCUUGUAUGCAACUUGAAAAGUUGAGUUAGGAGAGGAGGAUGGGAUAGAACUAAGAGAGUUGCAAUAUGUCGUGUGUCUUCAAGUGAUCGAGCAGAGAAGGUCCAUUUCAUCCCUUUAGGUUCCAACGCUAGCAAGGUCUGGGUAGAGGUUUUCAAGGUUGAUGGUGCACGAGUGUGGAGAGCAAAUUGAGAAUUUGAAACAUUUGCAUGGGUUUUAUAUAUGAAGUACUUUGAACUCCUUAUCUUGGUGUUUUAUAAUAUGUAGAGCUUAGGUUUGACUCUUCAUGACAAAUAAAUGAAGUAUUUUGAUUAAAUAUACUGUUUCUUAUA
Molecule: long non-coding RNA, 1469 nt
Organism: Arabidopsis lyrata subsp. lyrata
Lineage: Eukaryota; Viridiplantae; Streptophyta; Magnoliopsida; Brassicales; Brassicaceae
Exons: 4
Source: RefSeq, a predicted model, not a curated record